GCUCCUCUCAAACAUCGUAGUGGCGGAUCCGAGCUUUUCCUUGCAGCUUCGACGUUCUUCCGCCCCUUGAUUUCGUCGUCGAUCUCCGUUCCAACCCUCCAUGGCCGGAAAGGGCGAGGGUCCGGCGAUCGGGAUCGAUCUCGGCACCACCUACUCCUGCGUCGGCGUGUGGCAGCACGAUCGGGUCGAGAUCAUCGCCAACGACCAGGGUAACCGCACCACCCCCUCCUAUGUCGCCUUCACCGACACCGAGCGCCUCAUCGGCGACGCCGCCAAGAACCAGGUCGCCAUGAACCCAACCAACACCGUUUUCGAUGCAAAGCGUCUUAUCGGAAGGCGAUACAGUGAUGCUUCUGUCCAAAGCGAUAUCAAGCUCUGGCCCUUUAAGGUUGUUCCUGGUCCUGGUGACAAGCCCAUGAUAAUUGUUCAGUACAGGGGGGAGGACAAACAGUUUUCUGCGGAAGAGAUUUCUUCUAUGGUCUUGAUAAAAAUGAAAGAAAUCGCCGAAGCCUACCUGGGUUCCACCAUAAAGAAUGCCGUUGUUACUGUUCCUGCUUACUUUAAUGACUCCCAGCGCCAGGCAACCAAAGACGCUGGUGUCAUUGCUGGUCUUAAUGUAAUGAGGAUUAUCAACGAGCCAACAGCUGCUGCUAUUGCCUAUGGUCUCGACAAGAAGGCUAGUAGUGUUGGGGAGAAGAAUGUCCUCAUCUUUGACCUUGGUGGUGGCACUUUUGAUGUCUCUCUUCUGACCAUUGAAGAGGGUAUUUUUGAGGUGAAGGCUACCGCUGGUGACACCCACCUCGGCGGUGAGGAUUUUGACAAUCGUAUGGUCAACCAUUUUGUCCAGGAAUUCAAGAGAAAGAACAAGAAAGAUAUAAGUGGAAACCCUAGGGCUCUCAGGAGGUUGAGGACAGCAUGCGAAAGAGCUAAGAGGACCUUGUCUUCCACUGCUCAAACUACAAUCGAGAUUGAUUCCUUGUACGAGGGCAUUGAUUUCUACUCCACCAUUACUAGAGCGAGGUUUGAAGAGCUUAACAUGGACCUGUUCAGGAAGUGCAUGGAACCUGUCGAGAAGUGCCUGAGGGAUGCAAAGAUGGACAAGAGCAGUGUCCACGAUGUUGUCCUUGUUGGUGGGUCCACGAGAAUUCCAAAGGUUCAGCAACUCUUGCAGGACUUCUUCAAUGGGAAGGAGUUGUGCAAAAGUAUUAAUCCGGAUGAGGCCGUUGCUUAUGGUGCUGCUGUUCAGGCUGCCAUACUCAGUGGGGAGGGCAAUGAGAAGGUGCAGGACCUGCUUCUUUUGGAUGUCACACCGCUCUCUCUUGGUCUGGAGACAGCUGGAGGAGUAAUGACUGUUUUAAUCCCGAGGAACACCACUAUCCCUACAAAGAAGGAGCAGGUCUUCUCGACGUAUUCUGAUAACCAGCCUGGUGUCUUGAUCCAGGUUUACGAGGGUGAGAGGACUAGGACGAGAGAUAACAAUCUCCUAGGCAAAUUUGAGCUCUCUGGUAUUCCACCUGCUCCAAGGGGUGUUCCUCAGAUCACAGUUUGCUUUGACAUUGAUGCCAAUGGUAUCUUGAACGUGUCUGCCGAGGACAAGACUACCGGGCAGAAGAAUAAGAUUACCAUCACCAACGACAAAGGUAGGCUGAGCAAGGAGGAGAUUGAAAACAUGGUUCAAGAAGCAGAGAAGUACAAGGCAGAGGAUGAGGAGCACAAGAAGAAGGUCGAGGCCAAGAAUGCUUUGGAAAACUAUGCGUACAACAUGAGAAACACCAUCAAGGAUGACAAGAUUGCUUCUAAGCUGGCUGCUGCCGAUAGAAAGAAGAUCGAGGAUGCAAUCGAACAGGCCAUUCAGUGGCUCGAUGGCAACCAGUUGGCAGAGGCAGACGAGUUUGAGGACAAAAUGAAGGAGCUUGAGAGCAUUUGCAAUCCGAUCAUUGCUAAGAUGUACCAGGGGGCUGGCGCAGACAUGGCUGGUGAAAUGGACGAUGACGUUCCUGCUGCUGGUGGCAGCGGUGCCGGGCCAAAGAUUGAAGAGGUUGACUAAGUAUUAUCACCUGGUGUUCCUGGUUUGGUUUGAUUUCCUAUGUAGGUCUACUUGCCUUGAUCAGGCGUAUUUUGGCUAGUGCAUUCUAGGGAAUACUUUAUCUUCUAUUUCACUAAGAGGUGGCAACCCAUUGAUACCUCUGACGUCAUUCAAGAGAAUCAAACUGUCAAUCAUAUCCUCUGUGAUUCCUGAUGCUGCAAUGAGAUCACCAAAUGCCCGAUUCGGACCUGCCAUUUAGUAAAUUCAACAGCAGGUCAGCAGUAAAAUACCGUUGCAUAGUUGGUGAGAAAUGCAAAGUGUUCGAUCAAUGUCUCCUUAUAAGCACGGGACUCUUCUCUUAUUUGUUUCAUCUGUCUCAACUCUAAAAAGCACUAAGAUAUGAAGAUCUCACUCACAUAUGUAUAGAGAUGAAAAUGCAGCUACAGUUGAAGGGUGGAUGUGAGUUUGUUAAGUAAUUUUCCAAAGGAUUGUAAGAAUAUAUGCUUGAGAUAUUGUAGCUCUUACAUAUUUUUUUGAAAAGGAAGUGAAAAUUUUGUUCAA
Musa acuminata AAA Group (dessert banana) is the source of this 2587-nucleotide RNA transcript. It is a transcript of the gene named heat shock cognate 70 kDa protein 2-like, with no coding region annotated. Lineage: Eukaryota; Viridiplantae; Streptophyta; Magnoliopsida; Zingiberales; Musaceae. The record is from RefSeq and is a predicted model, not a curated record. The transcript has 3 exons.